UAUCCACACCCUUGAAUUCCCCCAUUCUCCUAGUUCUCUCUCAAGAUCCUCUCAAACCCUAGCCGUCUCCCUCCGCUUCCACUCUAAAAUCAUCCAUGGCUUCCAAGGACAUUGAAGUCCUAUACCGGCCUCCUAUAACUCCUACACGCCUGAUUACCGAAGUUUCAAGGCCUAAACAUGAAGAAGCUUGGCCCAGAUUUUGUUCCAUGUGAGUUCUAUGGCUGUCUCCGACGUUGCUCCGGCUAGCCAUGGCUGUUCAAGCCUGAACUUGACUUCUCCUGCUAAGAUCGAUGACCUUCUAAGCCUUUCUCACCAUCUGGGUUCUUCUGAAACCCUAACUUUUGCAGUUCUUUUGAUUUCUUUGAAUGUAUUCUAGAUCUGUGUUUUUCCUAAACUUUCAAACGUUUUCUCAAAGUUUCUUUCAAACUCUGCUUUCAAAACCUUUAUCUUUUCCUAUUUUGGGUUUUGUCAAGUUAUUUAGAAGUUUCUCUGAUCUUUAGCGUGUUCUACUGUGUUUCUUAUAUUGUUCUUCUAUUGUGUUUCUUAUGUUGAUUCUUCUAUUGUGUUUCUUAUGUUGAUUCUUCUAUUGUGUUUCUUUAUGUUAAAGUCUUAAGUUCUUUCUCAGGAUUUAUGAUUUUACUUUCUUAUUUGAUAUUUUUGCUUGACUCUAUUGUCUUUCAUCUCUACACUCGAUUGAUGGAAAAAACCCUAAGUUUAGGUUCAUUUGAGUUCUGAUAUUAUUUGCUAUGUGAUUUGUUUCUUCCUCAUCUCUAAACUUGUUUGGUUUCAAAACCUUAAUUUCUUUGGAUCUAUUUGAGCUUUUGAAGUUGUCUCAUAUGUUGCUCGACUGAAUCUCAAAAUAUUUGUUUCUUUAUAUGAUUCUGAAUCCCUGCUAAACACUUCUAAGUUCUUUCUACUGGACCCAUUGCAUGCUAUUUGAUACUCUCUCUCUUCUCCAUUGUUGGUUUACUGAAACUGACCUAUGAGACUACUAUGUUCCUAUGGUCCACCACUAACUGAUUUUGUAAUUGCAUGACACUUUUCUUUGUUCUAAAUUCAACCCUGCAUGCCUAAUACUUGUGUGCUCUUUAUAUAUGCUGAUCUUCCCUUCUAAAAUGACUUUUAAUUUUUGACUGAUUUCAGACCUCCUUGUGCAAGUCUGAUUGAUUCUUUCCUUGUUUUACUAAUUUCCCUAUUUCUUGGUUUGAUUUGAAACUUUCCUUUGCCUUUCUGACUUGGUUUAUUCAUGAACCAGCAAUUUCAAAUUUAUGACUCCUUGAUUUACUAUGCAUUGAUUGAUUCUUACCUUAUUUGUUUAACCGUGUAUUUCAAAUUUUCUUCCCUUAAUUAAACUCCUAUGUAUUUACCCCUAAUUAUCUACUUUGCACAAGAUACUUACUUGAUCUCUUUCCUUAAAUGAUUUCUUCAUUACCAUUUAAGUUUGAACUCUUUAAUUAAAAGAAGUUCUUCUACUGAUUGAUUUUAAUUGGUACAUGGUUACUUUCUUGCCUUAUUUUCUGCCUAUUUUUAAAAUAUAAAUACCAUGCCCUUUCAUUGAAAAAACACACGAUUACUCUGCGUUUUCUGAACUCAUACUCACGUUCAAAAAGCAUUCUCUCUAGUUACUUGUACUGGGGCAUGUUUUCCAAAUCCUACUACUGCUUUUACUAUAUUGUCUUCCUUGAACUGGUAUGUCUUGAUUAAGAUUUUCAGUAAUCACAAACAAUGUGUUUACUUAAUACCUUUACUUGCAUAUCUGACUGUUGCUUGUGUUUAGUUCAGUUUUUACUUUAGCAUGCUAUAAUUUCCUCAUAUUAUGAAUCCCAAACCCAUAUACCCCAAUGUGUUUGAUGCCAAUGGUUUGUUUGAGACAUGGCAAUAUUGAGUAUUAUGGUCUAUGGCUCAAACUUGAUUCCCCUGGAACCAUAACCUCUAUCUCACCAUCAUAUGUUGUGUAUUCUUGUUGAUUCUGUAAGCAUAAGAACAUUCUCUAUUGUUGUGCAUGCCCUGAAUUGGCUAAUGCCUAAGCACAUAAGCUCUUUGGCAAUUUCUCCAAUCCCUAAACCUUUUGUUUGAUUUGUUUAUGGCCACUUCCUAGCACUUCUCCCCCUUCUUUACUUUCUUAGUUCCUUAAAAUUUUGUUUCUACACUUGCACUCUCUCUUAGACUUUAAGUUAUGUCCCCUCUUGUGAGCCUUACCUUGGGACCCAUUGAGCUCCCUCUAAACUUGGACGCUUGAGGGAUGACCCUUCCACACUGCACUUGUCCCUAUUCCGGUGAUACAAUUUGGGCGUGAG
This 2297-nucleotide long non-coding RNA is filed under the name Nicotiana benthamiana. RNAcentral describes it as "long non-coding RNA (NBEN_LNC037651)". Lineage: Eukaryota; Viridiplantae; Streptophyta; Magnoliopsida; Solanales; Solanaceae. The record is from RNAcentral.